RNAcentral lists this ribosomal RNA (494 nucleotides) under uncultured bacterium. RNAcentral describes it as "partial 16S ribosomal RNA". It matches the Rfam family "Bacterial small subunit ribosomal RNA", at positions 28 to 507 of the family's 1533-position model. The record is from RNAcentral.
GACGAACGCUGGCGGCGCGCUUAACACAUGCAAGUCGAACGGAAAGGCCUGCUUUCCCUUGUGGAUUGCGGGUACUCGAGUGGCGAACGGGUGAGUAACACGUGAGUGAUCUGCCCCCAACUUGGGUAUAAGCCUGGGAAACUGGGUCUAAUUCCCGAUAGGACUGCAGGGUGGUGCCUGUGGUGGAAAACGAUUUUCUAGUGGUUGGGGAUGAGCUCGCGGCCUAUCAGCUUGUUGGUGGGGUAAUGGCCUACCAAGGCGGCGACGGGUAGCCGGCCUGAGAGGGUGGACGGCCACAUUGGGACUGAGAUACGGCCCAGACUCCUACGGGAGGCAGCAGUGGGGAAUAUUGCACAAUGGGCGGAAGCCUGAUGCAGCGACGCCGCGUGGGGGAUGACGGCCUUCGGGUGGUAAACUCCUUUCGACCGCGAGGAAGCCACCUGGUUGGAAGGGUGGUGACGGUAGUGGUAGAAGAAGCACCGGCUAACUACGUG